Molecule: long non-coding RNA, 1240 nt
Organism: Haemorhous mexicanus (house finch)
Lineage: Eukaryota; Metazoa; Chordata; Aves; Passeriformes; Fringillidae
Exons: 3
Source: RefSeq, a predicted model, not a curated record
AUGGCCCCUCUCUACACCCUGAGGAUGAGGUCACCUCUCCUGCCAGCAGGUGGGAGGUCAGUGUCCCUGUGGCUCAGGGGCCACCAGCUGCUGUGCUGAAUCUGCUGGCACAAGGGAGUGAGGGCAUGCUCCCAGGGAAGGCAGGCUCUGCAGGAACCGCUGCAGGGAGGGGCUCCAACUCCAAGCUGCAAUUAAGCUUACAGCAAGUUCAGCAUGUUGUUCCCCCAGGUGCCCCAGGAGCACAGGUGGGAGCCAAGAGGCUGCUGUGCCACACAGGAUCAGGAGCAAGCAGCCAAAAUUAGGAGCUAACCAAGUAUGCCUUGCUGCAUCAUGAUACAAGAGCCCUACAGAUCCUGAAAAACAAAUGGGAGCAAGACUCUGAUUUCUCCAGAGCUUCGUUUCAGGCGUCAGUGUUGGCUGGGGGCAGCUGGAAGCAACUGAUAUCCUGCAGGAGCUGGUGUCCUAACUCUGGUGUUUAUCUGAGCCCAGAGACACGGUGGGAUGCUACGGCAUCCUUCUGCUGUCACAAUCAUUUCUGAGGCCACCUUGAGGGGUUUAGUGUCUCUGCUGAGCACUGUGCCAGCCCAGGAGCAAGUGCUGGGGAGGAACCACUCAGCUGGAACAGCUGCUGUUUUCAAGGUGCUGGAAUUGGGCAGAGAACUGAGCGUGCAUCACUUCUGCUUGUGUUACCUGUCAUCACCUGAAACGGCAUCAACUGUUGAUUCACACAGUGAGUUCUGCUGCAGCAGCCUCUGCUGUGACACACAGCAAUGGUUUCAAAGCCUGCCAGGGAGCUCUGACAUCAGGGCAUGCUUUUGGCUGUUGGCAGCCAGUGUUUGUAUUAUGUGUGCAAGGCCUUUCACUCAGCCACGUCCUGUGGACUUUCCAUGUAAAAGGCACUUCCAGCAGGUUUUAGGAAGGCCUGAACUACAAGCCACAAUCCCAAAAGUGUGCCAAAACUCUGAACAGCAAGCAAGUUAAAAGGUCCUCUGGAGAAGAACUGGCACUCCCCAGAAACAGAAGUGUUGAAAACCAUCAGGGCUUGCUGGCUUGCUUGCCUCUAGGAGAACAUUUUUUUUUCAGUCUGACAAGUACUGAAUUAAAAAGUGAAAUUUGGUAUUAAAUAUGUGAAUAUUGAAUUAUGGGCACCUUGAAAAUACAACACCAAAUAAAACAAGCUGAUUUGGGUGUAUACAGGAGUGAGCUGAAAAGUAAUCUUGUGCAAUUUCUUGCAUAAAAA